Molecule: ribosomal RNA, 484 nt
Filed under: uncultured bacterium
Lineage: Bacteria
Description: partial 16S ribosomal RNA
Rfam family: Bacterial small subunit ribosomal RNA
Source: RNAcentral
AUUGAACGCUGGCGGCAGGCCUAACACAUGCAAGUCGAGCGGAUGAAGGGAGCUUGCUCCUGGAUUCAGCGGCGGACGGGUGAGUAAUGCCUAGGAAUCUGCCUGGUAGUGGGGGAUAACGUCCGGAAACGGGCGCUAAUACUGCAUACGUCCUGAGGGAGAAAGUGGGGGAGCUUCGGACCUCACGCUAUCAGAUGAGCCUAGGUCGGAUUAGCUAGUUGGUGGGGUAAAGGCCUACCAAGGCGACGAUCCGUAACUGGUCUGAGAGGAUGAUCAGUCACACUGGAACUGAGACACGGUCCAGACUCCUACGGGAGGCAGCAGUGGGGAAUAUUGGACAAUGGGCGAAAGCCUGAUCCAGCCAUGCCGCGUGUGUGAAGAAGGUCUUCGGAUUGUAAAGCACUUUAAGUUGGGAGGAAGGGCAGUAAGUUAAUACCUUGCUGUUUUGACGUUACCAACAGAAUAAGCACCGGCUAACUUCGUG